RNAcentral lists this ribosomal RNA (253 nucleotides) under uncultured Eubacteriales bacterium. RNAcentral describes it as "uncultured Clostridiales bacterium partial 16S ribosomal RNA". It matches the Rfam family "Bacterial small subunit ribosomal RNA", at positions 524 to 776 of the family's 1533-position model. The record is from RNAcentral. Lineage: Bacteria; Bacillati; Bacillota; Clostridia; Eubacteriales.
UACGUAGGGGGCAAGCGUUAUCCGGAAUCACUGGGUGUAAAGGGAGCGUAGACGGCUGUGCAAGCCUGAAGUGAAAGGCGGGGGCCCAACCCCUGGACUGCUUUGGAAACUGCCAUGCUAGAGUGCUGGAGAGGUAAGUGGAAUUCCUAGUGUAGCGGUGAAAUGCGUAGAUAUUAGGAGGAACACCAGUGGCGAAGGCGGCUUACUGGACAGUAACUGACGUUGAGGCUCGAAAGCGUGGGGAGCAAACAGG